UGGAGCGUCGCCAAGUGGUAAGGAAGUGGGUUCUGGUACCACCAUUCGAGGGUUCGAAUCCUUCCGCUCCAGCCA
RNAcentral lists this transfer RNA (75 nucleotides) under Candidatus Saccharimonadota bacterium. RNAcentral describes it as "tRNA-Gln". It matches the Rfam family "tRNA". Rfam says of the family: Transfer RNA (tRNA) molecules are approximately 80 nucleotides in length. Their secondary structure includes four short double-helical elements and three loops (D, anti-codon, and T loops). Lineage: Bacteria; Candidatus Saccharimonadota. The record is from RNAcentral.